Molecule: unclassified non-coding RNA, 18 nt
Filed under: synthetic construct
Source: RNAcentral
AGUGCGACACCUGAUUCC